GACAAAUUUCAAAGCUUUAUCGUCACUGGCACACCUUCUCUCCAAGUUCACUCAUUGCAGAUUAGAGAAACAACACCUGAUUCCAACCAAAGGACCAAAUCCUCGGUGCCCUUCCUAGUCUAUUAUCGGUGGUAAAUUUCGAAGCUUUAUUGUCACCUAUGAGACACCUCCGCUCCAGGCUGACUCGCCACUGCCAUCGAAACGACACACCACCAGAUGUUCUUCCUUCUUUGCAAUUUUUCUUGAAAGUUCAUAAAAGAAAUGCAUUCCAAAAGGUUUCAAAGAUUAAGAGGUGGUUAUGUGGUGGUGCCUGAGAAGUUGCGAAAUCAUGUCGUGCAGAUUUGACUGACUUCAAGCUGAAACCAUAUGUAUCUCAGUGCGCAAUACAAAGGGCUAAAUGAAAGGGCAGUAGAGAUUAUAUCCUUUGAUGGCCGAUACCUAACGAGACAGCUCUUUUCGUACCCCCAACCCCUCUAUUUGGUUGGUGAAUAUCAAGCGUCGUCUGCUCACUUUUGACAUGUCGAGCUCAUAACGCAGCAGUGUCGUACCGCAUGGCAAGAUGUUCGUGUAAGUUAUUGUAUUACUCGGUUGUUAACAUUUAGAGGGGUGAUGAGAAAUUGCAUCUCCAAGAGAUAUAACCUGUUGUUUUCAUUCAAACUUUAAGCUCAUCUGGGUGGUUUUCUCUGCAAAAAAUGUGGUUUCUCAAGUAUGUUGAAGAACUUAACUCAGUAUGCUGAGG
Long non-coding RNA from Sesamum indicum (sesame), 739 nucleotides. RefSeq lists it as uncharacterized. NCBI's taxonomy places the organism in Eukaryota, Viridiplantae, Streptophyta, Magnoliopsida, Lamiales, Pedaliaceae. The record is from RefSeq and is a predicted model, not a curated record.